CCCGUGACUUCCUGAUCACAUGGCAGCCACUUUACCAGUUACUCCAAGGCUCCCCUUCUUAGAGGCAUUUACUAGUGACAGGUACAAUUUAGCUCUCUUUGUAAAUGUCCCUAAAGCCUAUAACGAUAUUAGCUCAUUAGAUCCUAUGACAAUUAACUAAUGUUGGUAAAAAAUUAUAGGCACUCUUUAUUGAAAUGCAUAUUUAUUGCCGUUAAAAAUUGCUUUUGUUGUAGUGUUAUCUCAAAGAGCAAAAUGGCGGCAAUACAAGGCUCCUUCAGACUCAAGCUAGUACUGGAAAAAGAUAUGGGGAAAAUUUUGCUGAGGGAUAUAAUGGAGAUGGCUAUCAGUGGAGAAAGAGCAAUGGUGGAC
RNAcentral lists this long non-coding RNA (369 nucleotides) under Capsicum annuum. RNAcentral describes it as "long non-coding RNA (CANN_LNC002412)". Lineage: Eukaryota; Viridiplantae; Streptophyta; Magnoliopsida; Solanales; Solanaceae. The record is from RNAcentral.